UACGUAGGGGGCGAGCGUUAUCCGGAAUUACUGGGCGUAAAGCGCACGCAGGCGGUUUGCCAAGUUUGGUGUGACAGUUGUCGGCUCAACCGACAAAGGACUUCAAAAACUGGUGAACUUGAGGACGAGAGAGGAACAUGGAACUCCAGGUGUAGUAGUGAAAUGCGUAGAUAUCUGGAAGAACACCAAUGGCGAAGGCAAUGUUCUGGCUCGUUUCUGACGCUCAGGUGCGAAAGCCAGGGGAGCGAACGGG
Molecule: ribosomal RNA, 253 nt
Filed under: uncultured bacterium
Lineage: Bacteria
Description: partial 16S ribosomal RNA
Rfam family: Bacterial small subunit ribosomal RNA
Source: RNAcentral